This 404-nucleotide long non-coding RNA is filed under the name Mytilus galloprovincialis (Mediterranean mussel). The record is from RNAcentral. Lineage: Eukaryota; Metazoa; Mollusca; Bivalvia; Mytilida; Mytilidae.
CCUCCUGUUUCACUGAGUUGUAGUCAUAGUUUUAGUACAAUUAAUGCAAAUUUUUGGUUUUGUUGGAUCAGAAUGAAAUUUAUCAAUCUUGUCUGUCUGUUACUAAGAAUAGCCACCAUUUUGAGUUCUGGAAUGUAAUAGUUUACGGCAUAUGGGAUUUCUUCAUUAAUAAACAAAAUAAUUCACAUUUCUCAUCAGAAAAUAUCAUCUUGGUCAAAUUUAUUUCAAUUGUGAAGGGUAAGCAAAGUUUAAAAAAAAAGCAUGUCUUGUUUAAAAAUUUACAUUGUAACUAUACCGAUGAGGUCCGACAGUUCAGAUGUCAAAGAUAAGACCUCUCAUUGAAUUUUACAAAAUCUGAUAGUCAUACCAAGCAUAAAUGUUUAUUAAAUGGCAAUGAAAACAAU